This is a long non-coding RNA of Spinacia oleracea (spinach), 2891 nucleotides long. RefSeq lists it as uncharacterized. The transcript is spliced from 2 exons. The record is from RefSeq and is a predicted model, not a curated record. Lineage: Eukaryota; Viridiplantae; Streptophyta; Magnoliopsida; Caryophyllales; Amaranthaceae.
CGGUUCCGGUUCCUGGAAUUUCAACAGGGUACCCUGUUGUGCUCACCCCUAGUAUUCAUACAAAGAGUAAGGGUUGAAACAUGUCACUACCUGUUUAAAAAGUAACAUAGACAAUGAAAACGCUUAAGUUACGUAUUUGUUAAUUAACUCGAGUACUCUCCAAAAAAUAAACAUAAAAGCAUGAGCAGUGUUGAGUUUCUAAUGACUCACAAGUCACAACACCAUCUCUUCUCUUUGUGGGUAAACUCACCAUCGUAGAUAGUUCCCCAUUGCAUCCCCAUUGUAUUAGGUUAUAGUGACUACUGGGUCACUGACAGCCUCGACCCACAAGCUAACAUCCUAUGAAAUUUUGACACUUGUCAUUUACUUGCUUGAUUUUUCUGUCCGACUCCUCCCAUGUACUUCUACUUUUAUAAUUGAUUAGUGUAUGAGAGAGAUCAGAGAGUGUUGUGAGUAAGUUCCCCUUUGUAAAAAAAAAGAGGUAACUCAUUAUAGUGACUCAAGAUAGUGGAAAGUAAUGUGGAUGAUGACGUGAAAAAGAGAUGAUGCUAUGAAUGGUUGUGGGCAACCUCACUAUUGCUCAUGCACCAAACAGUAUUGGCGGAGAUUGUGGAGAACUUAUCUGUCGGCUGUUACAAGAACGAGCCCCACAUAAAUAGCCACAUCUAUUUAUCAAUUUGUGCUUAGGAAAUCCCAUAUUCUCAAACAUUAACGUAUACUCCGUAAUAGGUGACGGUUCAAUAAAAUUCAUCUUAACUUUAAAAAAAACAUAAAAAUUGAGUUAUGUGACAAAAUGCCAACCAGGCAACUAUCCACCCGCGGUUAUUAGAUAGGGAAGCUAGGUUUGCUGGUGAAUCAAUCGGCCCAAUCGGGCCAUACAUCAGCCCGACAAACGGCGGGAUCAAUAAUCCUUUUUUGGCGCCAAUUUCACGCCUUCUCCAACAUGAGUAAUUUCAUACUUCAAAAAUUCUGCUCUGAAACAAUCUCAGCUGCAAUUCAACGGCGAUUACAGUUACCACCGUUUCUCAGAUUCCUCCUCUAAUCGUCUUUGAAGCAUCCUUCCUGUGAAAUUGAUUUGGCGGUCGAGAAUGUUUCUACCAAUCUGAUGCUACUACUGUCAUGUGAUCUGUGUUACUCAGAGUCUUCAUUUCGUCUCAAGAUCCUCCUACUAGGGUAAGGAGAGUUGGAGACUUCCCACUUCUUUUGGACUAAAAACGUGUAAAACCUUUGUUAAGUGUCCGCGUCUGACACUUGGAAACAUACCUCUGCCUAACACUGAUUUUCUGGCCUGAGUAACAUAGCAUGUGACAGUCGGACUAAUUCCCGAUUUGUAUUGUUGAUCUGCUGAUUUCUUAAAUGGAGUUCCGACAGGCCGACAGAAACUAGAAUGUGAUAGUCGAGUACUCGAGUACAAACAUGAGCUGCAGCCUGCAGUGGUUUAAAUGAUGCUAUUAUGGAAAUUUCAUAAAAUGGAGGACCACUAACACGAAAAAUCAUUUGUGACAAACAUACCUUUCUGCCAGCCAUAAAAAGAAUUUAUUGAGAGGUAUAUAUUUUGGUGAUCUCUAAAUGUUAUCUAUGUUACUACUACUUGCUUUCACAUACUGUCUACUAACCUUGUUAAGUCACCCAUCUUACCUAGGAUAAGAAAGAAGUCACCUGGUUCCUUUAUCUUCCUUUUCUCCUUUGUAAGUGGCACCUGCCAUCUGGGUGGUGUUUCAUAUUUUAUUUUUAGCAGAAAUGGUUUAAAUCAAGGUCUUAUUUAGGUUGCAACACUUCAUAAAGGUCAUUCAUAAAUCAUAAUGUAAUUUGUAAAACAUUGUAUGAAUUAUGAAAACUUUGAUGUACUCUCUUUAUCUGUAAAUUUUCUGUUAUAUAAUUGAUGGGAGCAUCAUGAUGUGUAUUUCUUUCGAGUCACUUUCUGGUCCUCCUUAAAAAACUUGGCUACUGUUCCCUUCUUUUCUAGACAAGUACGGGACCCCUGUCUGCUGAUUUUGCUGUUCUAGGUUGUCUUUGAGAUAGAAGUUAAUUUUUUUGGUUCCACUUUUCUUUCAUGAACUUUUUCCUUAUUUGUGAAUUGAGAGCAUAAGGUGAUAAGGGUAGGGGUUAAACUCAUACGGAAACCUAUCUUGUGGAUCUAGUCUUAAGAAGAACAUCCUUGUGGAUAUGAAAAUCUAAACUCUGUUUACCAAGAGAAUGUUUGAUAUUUCUUCCCUUUCAUUGUCAGAUAUGUCUGUACAUUGUUAAGUGUACACAUUCAGAGAGUUGCCUGCAGAAAAUAUGCCAACUCAUGUUUUACGUCUUGUGCAUUUUUUGUUUGUAUUGACCUGUAGUACCUUCUUUUUUUCGGGAGGGGGCAGUGUUUGGUUUGUACACAAGGACUUUAUUAACGACAACAACUUAGUACAGAUUGAGGGUGAGGUUAUGAGGAAGGUCAAGUACGCAGUCUCAUCCUAACAAGUAUAAUGACCGUCUUUUAAAGACCAGAAGAGAUUGUGGGAAGCAUAAUAAAUGGUUUUAGAAUUUAUUUGUUCUCUAGAUUACCUAACCCACUUAUAUAGUUUCCCUACUUUCUAAAUUGGGUUAUUUAGUAUUAUUGUAUUAUUGACAUAAAAAAUUAUGCACUUAUUGUUGAAGGCCUAAUUAGUUAAUUAUUACCAAGUUUUGACCAUUCUUUUCAAUUUUCCUUCCUUCAAAUUUGUGAUUUAAUUAUUGAUGGAACUACAAAUUUUGAUUAAUGCUCAAUAUUUUGCAAACUUACUGCUCAUUUGUAUGCCGACAUUUGGACUGAUUCCUUCUUAUAUAUUCUACCUAGAACACCACUAGUUGCAGGACAUUGUAUGCUGCCGUCCAAGUUCAAAGUUCUGCCGCAGCAGUUGGGUUUUUCAAGA